AUCACAAAAGCUCAUAUAUAUUGACUACAGAAAUUUCUUUACAUAUACAAAUAGACAAAAUACAUUAAAAUCUCUAGUGGUUUUCCACCCACUGGUCCAGCCUAUUCUUGGAUGACAUCUUCUGGGCAUACUUAAGUUACACCGACUGCAUCUAAGAAACAGAGGAGACAAGGGUGAGUACGAUAAAUCAUACUCAGCAAGCAAAUACUUCACUAUUCAAUAAGGAGCAAUGGUAUGAUGGUGUAGAUCAACAGACGAAAUGAACAAGGAAAUUAUUGGCAUCACACAUGACCGCAAGCUUCCCAACCCGGGAGUCACAGGGGUGAAAGUUCACACUUUUACGCUCUUAAGAGGGGUACUCCGACGUCGACAGUCUCGACUAGAACCACACAGGUUCCAGAAGAGCAGAGCUCUUGUACCCACUAAGACCCGAACACCUGUACCUACUGAUGUCGAUCGCUCCUACGGAUCCAUCACCGACACGUUCCUGAACAAGGUCCGUCCUUAGCGGAGAACUCAGACAGUCCCAUACCUGAACUGUGACCGGUACAAUAUGUUUACCGUCGUGACACCAAUACAAAAUAGGAUAUGUGUUUGAAUCAACGGUAGAAUCACUGUAAUAUCAGUCAAAGACUAUACGCGUAUGACUUCUCACGAGUUCCUCCAAAAUACUCUGAUUCCAUCAACAAAUGGAAUACGAGGACAACACAUCCCUCUCUCAAGGAUCAAGAGAGGAUCAAUAAGGAUCAAGGUGCAACAAUAUUAACCGAUAAUCAAAGAAGACAACAAGCGAGAUCGGGGAGUUAGGGAAAGCAGCUACUUGCCUCAGGUAAUAUGAUUUCUCCUUUAGAAUAAUAUUUUGCAAGAAGAUGAAACUCCAUCAUCUUUAUAUAAAAUCUGACGAACACACAUAUACUCAUAUUUCUUCUGAUGUAUGGCUCGGCUCUUCCCUCCAGCAGCACCUAAACGCUCUAUUCUUCUUCAAAUGUGGAUGCAUGCAUGAAUUCUUCAUCUCUCUUCUUUAUCUUUCUGGUGUCUUUCUUUCUCUCAGGCUCUCUCCUCCAGUGUUUAUGUCUUUCUCUCAGAGCUGUGCUUUGAGCAGCGUGGCCCACAGCUAUUUAUAGGAGGCAAGCGCCCGUGCAAGUCUAAAAUAUCUUGGCCUGGCUCUCACUUAAGCACUAAGAAAUGGCCACGUAUAGGACACGUAAAAGCUGACUUCUAUUUUCUAUUUCUACGUUCCUCUAGUACUUGGCCACGUUGCAGCCCACGUAGGAAACUUGGGUUUCUAGCGAUGCAGCCGAUGCAUGCAUCUACCCACGUUUGCUGCCAUUCCUCUCCUGUACAUGUAGUUGAUUCACUAGAGUUUUCAAAACACCUGACACAUGCAUGCAUAUCCUCUAGAACCAAGCCACGUUGCCUCUUCCUCAUGAUUACAUACAUGCACCUAUUUGACUUGGAGCUCUAGUACUAGGAAAUAUGUACCGGUGUAUCAUUUGUACCUGGUCUAAUUUCAUCUGUUCAAAUGCCACGUUAACUCUCUUGUAAUUUUCUAGCUUAUAUGGCCAACUAGGUAGUAGUACUUCCCAUGCCUAUAUCACAACGUGAGUGCAUGAAUGCAAGUCUAUGCGCACAUACACCUACUCUUACAUAGUGUGUAAUUUUCUAAUAUUUAAUGCAUGCAAAAAUUUACAGCUCUAUCUUAAUUCUUUGAAUCAAGAAUUUAGCAUAACUUAGCAGAUAAUACAAAUUUAAUUACUUAUCUUAAUUUAAGUCAAUAACCCAAAAAUAUGGGUUAUUACAUCCUUCCCACCUUAUAAGAAUUUCGUCCCCGAAAUUAACACUAACAUCUAUGCUUUUUUUUAGUGAUCAAAUUCCCUCCCAUCAUAUUUGGAACAGUUUAUUUGAUGCAUGCUCAAUAAUUAAUUAUAAAAUAAUGCAAAAAAGAUUUGCAAUCUUUCUACAAUUCAUGGAUAUAUCUGCUAUAACAUAAGUUGGCAACACUAAACAUUUUAUUUGGUAAAUUCAUUAACAAAAAGGAUAGAUAGUGGUAUAGCAAUUGUCCCAUUACUAGAACAUUAUUACCGAUUGUCUUAAACAAGAAAAUCUACACAAAUAUUAAGUCAUGUAUUAAUCUAACAAGAUGUCUAUUUAUUUCCCAUGCAUCCUCAAAUUUCAUCAAUAAUGUGUACACUAUAUUUUUUAUUUGCCUGGAUAUCUGUUGAAACUAUUCAUGAGUACCAACACACAAACUAGUUGAGACAAGAUAUGAAAAUAAAAUCUUCAUAGCUGUCACACAACACAAAUAUAUAGUGACAAAAUUUAUUGCCAUGAACCAUUUUAGUUUAUAUGGUUCCUCAAGAGUCUAAUAAUGGUGUGAGCACUUCUUUUUUUCUACCAAUUGAUAAAAACAUCAUAUAAACUAAGUAAAUCGCCGAAUUUAGCUGCGAUUUAGGUUGCGUGCAUCCACAUAUCGCUUAUAUGGGUUAUCACCUAAAACCUAUUUAUAGAGCUCUAGAGCAUGAAAUAGGUUUUAGGUUGCGUUGGGAUAAAUGGGUAGAUCGCCGAGAUCGGGGAGUUAGGCAAAGCAGCUACUUGCCUCAGAUAAUAUGAUUUCUCCUUUAGAAUAAUAUUUGCAAGAAGAUGAAACUCUAUCAUCUUUGUAUAAAAUCUGACGAACACACAUAUACUCAUGUUUCUUCUGAUGUAUGGCUUGGCUCUUCCCUCCAGCAGCACCUAAACGCUCUAUUCUUCUUCAAAUGUGGAUGCAUGCAUGAAUUCUUCAUCUCUCUUCUUUAUCUUUCUGGUGUCUUUCUUUCUCUCAGGCUCUCUCCUCUAGUGUUUAUGUCUUUCUCUCAGAGUUGUGCUUUGAGCAGCGUGACCCACAACUAUUUAUAGGAGGCGAGCGCCCGUGCAAGUCUAAAAUAUCUUGGCAUGGCUCUUACUUAAGCACUAAGAAAUGGCCACGUAUAGGACACGUAAAAGCUGACUUCUAUUUUCUAUUUCUACGUUCCUCUAGUACUUGGCCACGUUGCAGCCCAGUAGGAAACUUGGGUUUCUAGAGUUAUUAGCAUAUUUUUUUUAGAGCUGUAGAGCAUGAACAGUGAGACAAACAAGGAAUAAUGAUACAUCUCUAUGCGGCUGUAGCUCCGAACUGUAUUUUAUAAUUAAUUAUUGAGCAUGCAUCAAAUAAACUGUUCCAAAUAUGAUGGGAGGGAAUUUGAUCACUAAAAAAAUAGCAUAGAUGUUAGUGUUGAAUUUUGGGGACGAAAUUCUUAUAAGGUGGGAAGGAUGUAAUAACCCAUAUUUUUGGGUUAUUGAUUUAAAUUAAGAUAAGUAAAUUUUUAUUAUUUUGUUAACAUAAAUAAUUGAGCGAAGAAGACAUGCUAGAUUAUUCUUGCAAGUAAUUAAAUAGAACUGUAAUUUUUGCAUGCGUAAAAUAUUAGAUGGAAAUGGACCAGGUACAAAUGAUAGAUUGGUAGAUAUUUCCGAGUACUAAAAUUCCAAGUCAACUAGGUGCAUGCAUGUCAUGAUGAGAAUGCACACGUAUGUAUUGUUCUUGCUAGCUAAGUAAAAAUCUAUGUGUACGUGGAGGUUGGCGUGGCAUGCAUGUAGUCUCUUGGACAGUCUAGUCCUAUACGUGGGCUCUUCCUAUGGUGCCAGGUUUAAUUAGGCCUUUGCACUAGCCGUAGGUGCAGCAGCCAAAUCAUUUUUUACCUAGCUUCAAGGGCCAAGGGUCAAGCGGCAAGAGUCACUGCGGCUGAGAUAUUUUAGCUAGUGACCGACUGUCAGCUCCUAUAAAUAGAACGCUCCUGCUGCUGCUCAAAGCACGACUCCGAGAGAGAAUUAGAUACUAGAGGGGUGAGUAUGAGAGAGAAAGAGGGUAAGAGAGAUGAAGAAUUCAUGCAUGCGCAUACAUGUUUGAAGUGAUAUGGAGAGAGGUGUCGAGCCAUCUGUCUAAAGAAGAAUAUUAGCAUAUGUAUGGUUCAUCAGAUUUUUAUACGAUGGAUUAUUACUUGCUGGCCGAAUAUUAUUCUAGAGUAGAAGUCUUAUUUUCUGAGGCAAGUAGCUACUUUACUAACUCUGAAAUCCGUUAUCUUCCUUUGAUUAUCUAAUUGUAUUGUUGCACCCUGAUCUUUAUUGAUCUCUGCUGAUCCUUGUUUCAAUUGAGAGAGGGACAUGUUACCCUCGUAAUCCAUUUGUUAAUGGAACCAGUGUGUUUUGAGAGGAACUCAUGUAAAGCCAUGAGCGUAUUGAUAUUCCAGUGAUCCUAUCGAUGAUUCAAACACAUAUCCUAUUUUGUAUUGGUGUCACGACGGCAAACGUAAUGUACCGGUCACAGUUCAGGUAUGGGACUGUCUGGGUUCUUCACUAAGGACGGACCUUGUUCGGGAACGUGUCGGUGAUGGAUCCGUAGGAGCGACCGACAUCAGUAGGUCCAGGUGUUUGGGUCUUAGUGGGUACAAGAGCUCUGCUCUUCUGAAACCUGUGUGUUUCUAGUCGAGACUGUCGAUGUCGGAGUACCCCUCUUAAGAGCGUAAAAGUGUGAAAUUUCACCCCUGUGACUCCCGGGUUGGGAAGCUUGCGGUCACGUGUGACGCCAAUACCUCCCUUGUUCGUCUUUGAUUAUACUAUUUAUUUUACACAUCUCCAGCAAAAUAUGUUCCAGUGAUUGUUACCUUGUUUAUCCUUUGGAUUCAGUUUGUUUGUUGAUCUACAUCAUUUUACCAUUGCUUUUGUUGAAUAAUGAAGUAUCUGCUUGCUGAGUAUGAUUUAUCGUACUCACCCUUGUCUCCUCCGUCUUUUUAGAUGCAGCCGAUGUAACUUAAGUAUGCCCAGAAGAUGUCAUCCAAGAUUAAGCUGGACCAGUGGGUAGGAAGCGACUAGAGAAUUUAAUGUAGUUUGCCUAUUUGUAAAUGUAAAGAAAUUUGUAAACCAAAUAUAUGAGAUUUUGUGAUCCACUUAGUCACGCAAGGCAUGAUAAAGCAGGCAUAAACCAGCAGUGGAUCACAAAAGCUAAUAUAUUUACUAUACAAAUUCCUUAACAUCUACAAAUAGUUGAGUAAAGACAUCAUAUUCUCUAGUCGCUUCCCACCCGCUGGUCAAGCCUAGUCUUGGAUGAAGACAUCUUCUGAACAUACUUAAGUUGAACAUACUUAAGUUACCUCGUUCGCAUCUAAAAAAAAGAGGAAGCAAGGGUGAGUACGACAAAUCAUACUCAGAAAGCAGAUACUUCACUAUUCAACAAGGAGCGAUGGUAUGAUGGUGUAGAUCAACAGACGAAAUGAACAAGGAAAUUAUUGGCAUCACACAUGACCGCAAGUUUCCCAACCCGGGAGUCACAGGGGUGAAAUUUCACACUUUUACGCUCUUAAGAGGGGUACUCCGACGUCGACAUUCUCGACUAGAACCACACAGGUUCCAGAAGAGCAGAGCUCUUGUACCCACUAAGACCCGAACACCUGGACCUAAUGAUGUCGAUCGCUCCUACGGAUCCAUCACCGACACGUUCCUGAACAAGGUCCGUCCUUAGCGGAGAACUCAGACAGUCCCAUACCUGAACUGUGACCGGUACAAUAUGUUUGCCGUCGUGACACCAAUACAAAAUAGGAUAUGUGUUUGAAUCAACGGUAGAAUCACUGUAAUAUCAGUCAAAGACAAUACGCGUAUGACUUCUCACGAGUUCCUCCAAAAUACUCUGAUUCCAUCAACAAAUGGAAUACGAGGACAACACAUCCCUCACUCAAGGAUCAAGAGAGGAUCAAUAAGGAUCAAGGUGCAACAAUAUUAACCGAUAAUCAAAGAAGACAACAAUAAAGUGAGGUCGGGGAGUUAGGCAAAGCAGCUACUUGCCUCAGAUAAUAUGAUUUCUCCUUUAGAAUAAUAUUUUGCAAGAAGAUGAAACUCCAUCAUCUUUGUAUAAAAUCUGACGAACACACAUAUACUCAUAUUUCUUCUGAUGUAUGGCUUGGCUCUUCCCUCCAGCAGCACCUAAACGCUCUAUUCUUCUUCAAAUGUGGAUGCAUGCAUGAAUUCUUCAUCUCUCUUCUUUAUCUUUCUGGUGUCUUUCUUUCUCUCAGGCUCUCUCCACCAGUGUUUAUGUCUUUCUCUCAGAGUUGUGCUUUGAGCAGCGUGACCCACAGCUAUU
RNAcentral lists this long non-coding RNA (6145 nucleotides) under Triticum aestivum (bread wheat). RNAcentral's name for it is "long non-coding RNA (TAES_LNC012247)". The record is from RNAcentral. Lineage: Eukaryota; Viridiplantae; Streptophyta; Magnoliopsida; Poales; Poaceae.